Molecule: non-coding RNA, 3407 nt
Organism: Vicugna pacos (alpaca)
Lineage: Eukaryota; Metazoa; Chordata; Mammalia; Artiodactyla; Camelidae
Source: RefSeq, a predicted model, not a curated record
UAUGACCCAGCAAUUCCUCUUCUGGAUAUAUAUCUGAAAAAAAAAACACUAAUUCAAGAAGAUACAUGCACCCCAAUGUUCAUAGCAGCGUUAUUUACAAUUGCCAAGGUAUAGAAGCAAUCUAAGCGUCCAUCAACAAAUGGAUAGAGAUGUGGUAUAUAUUCACAAUGGAAUACUACCCAGCCAUAAAAAGAAUGAAAAUCUGCCAUUUGCAGCAACAUGGAUGGACUUGGAGGGCAUUAUGCUAAGUGAAAUAAGUCAGAGAAAGACAAAUACUGUAUGAUAUCACUUAUAUGUGGAAUCUAAAAAAUACCUCAAACUAGUGAACAAAAAGAAGAAAAGAAGCCGACUCACAGAUAUAGAGAACAAACUAGUGGUAACCAGUGGGGAAAGGAAUGGGAGGAGGGGCAGUAUAGGGGUAGGGAGGACAAAAGGGUUUUUAUGAGAUUACAUUAAGUCAUGUGUGUGAAAUUUUUGAAAAUUGUAAAACACCACAGAAUUUAAAGAACCUUUUUAUUCAAUAAAAAUCAACUAAAAAAGAAACAAGUCUUGUGAAUAUCAGUUAUUAUAUCUACAUAAUUAUUAAUAUCUAUCAAGUUUUCCAAUUUUUUUGGACUACAAUACUUUAUCUUUCUGUACACAAUUGUUGUUGAUCAUUUUCAAACCUUGUUAAUAUAAAUAACCCUAUAGAAAUGUACUUUUUUCACUCUAGUUUAUCUCAUUAACAUGAGAUAUAUAGAUGGAUUGCUGGACUUAAACAUAUGCUUAUUUUAAAUAAGGAUGUAACAUACUCUCUACAAAAGUUAUGUAUGGUUUAUUUAUCACCAAAAUUGAUUAGGGAUUAAUAGCACAUCAAAAUUAAGAUACAAUGGAUAUUAUUUUAAUAAAAACUUGCUAGUGUCAGUUUUAAGGCCAAUAUGACAUAUUUUAUAACAUUUUUAUUUGUCGUAAGCUAGACAGUUUUUAUGUACACAUUCAUUCAUUUUUUAUUCCUCUUUUAUUAAAUCUCCAUUUCUAUCCUUAGCUCAUUCUUUUUACAUUGAUGUAUUCAUAUGUAUAUUAUUUUAAAAAUUAAGUUCAGUAUUUUGUUUCUCAUAGUUGGAACAAAAAUUUUCCACUUAAUUUGCUUUAACGUUGCUCAAGGGGAUAUUGAUAUAGGAGCUUUACUAUUUUCAUAGGUAAGUUUAUUCAUUAUUUACUUUGUUUUCUACUUGGAUGUCAUGCACCCACACACGGAUUAUAAAAGCCUUCUUUUAUAUUUUAUAAAUAUAUUGGUAGUCUAUGUUUCUUUUGUUAUUUUUCUUAUUAUGGUUAAAAUACAUAUUAUAAUGUUUACCAUUUUAACCAUUUUUAAGUGUUCAGCUCAGUAGGACUAAGCAAUUCACACUAUCACUAUCCAUCUCCAGACCCUCUGUAUCAUCCAAAACUGAAACUAUGUACUUAUCAAACAGUGACUCCCCUUCACCCCAGCCUCUGCUCCCGUAAGCCCCUGGUAACCACAUUCUACUUUCUGUCUCUGAAUUUGACUGUUCUGAGUACCUUAUAUAAGUGAAAUCAUACAAUAUUUGAUAUUUUGUGUCUGGCUUAUUUCAUUUAGCAUAAUAUUUUCAGGGUUUCCAUGUGGUAGCAUGUAUUAAAAUUGUACUCCUUUUUAAAGCUGAAUAAUAUUUCAUAAUAUGUGUAAACUACAUUUUGUUUAUGCACUCAUCUAUUGUGUACAUGUGUUUUUUUCCACCACCUUUGGCUACUGUAAUGUUGCUAUGAACAUUGGUGUACAAAUAUCCAUUUAAAUUCUUGCCUUCAGUUCUUUUGGGUAUAUACCUUAAAGUGGGAUUGUUGGAUUACAGGGUAAUUCUAUGUCAGAAUUUUCGAGGAACCACCAUAUUGUUUUCCACAGCAGCUGCACCGUUUUACAUUCCUACCAGCAAUGCACAAGAGUUCUAAUUUCUCCACAUCCUCACCAACACUUGUCAUUAUCUUUUUUCUUUUAUAAUAGUAGCCAUCAUAAUGCAUGUGAAGUGGUAUCUAAUUGUGGUUUUGAUUUGCAUUUCCCCAAUAAUGAAUGAUAUUGAUCAUCUUUUCAUGUUCUUUUUGGCCAUUUGUAUAUUUUCAUGGAAGAAAUAUCUAUUCAUUUGCUCACUUAAGAAUGGGGUUGUUUUCUAUUGUUGAGUUGUAGAAAUUCUUUAUAUAUUUUGGAUAUUAAUUUCCUGUCAGAUAAAUAAUUUGAAAAUCUUUUUCCCUUUCUGAGGGUUGCCUUUUUACUACAUUUAUAUUUACCUUUGAUGCACAAAAGUAUUUAAUUUUGAUGAAGUCCAAUUGAUUUAUUUUUUCUGUGCUUGCAGUAUCAUGUCCAAGAAAUUGUUGCCAAAUCCAGUGUCAUGAAGAUUCCCCUAUAUGUUUUAUUUUAAGAGUUUUAUAGUAUUAACUCUUACUUUUAAAUCUUUGAUCCAUUUUGAGUUAAUUUUUGAUUAUGGUGUGAGGUACGUGUCCAAAUUCAUUCUUCUGCAUGUAGGUGUCUCGUUUUCCCAGCACCAUUUGUUGAAGAGACUGUUCUUUCCCCCAUUGAAUGGUCUUAGCCCCCUUGUCAAAAUCAAUUGACAGUCCAUGUGUGAGUUUUUAUGGACUCUGAAUUCUGUUCCAUUGAUCUGUAUGCCUGUCUUUAUGUCAGCAACACAGUUUUUUAUUAUGAUACCUUUGUGUAGGCCCCCGCCUGAAGGCUCUAGAGAAUAAGCCGUGGGCUGAACUGAUAAACAAGCUGUGAGGAAUGUCAUCAUGUAUCCAGUAUAGAUGGCUGGAUAGUCAAUGACGGGAAGGAGAGACAUCUACUUACCUGGGACAUGGUUUUUGAACUGCCAGUCCUCCUCAGAAACUCAGUCCAGAGAAGCCAGAGCUGAGGGAGGAAGAAGAAGCCUUGAGACGCAACAUAUCUCAGAACUCCAAAAAUUAUUUAAGGGUUGAGAGUGCGCCGUACAACCCAAGCUUCAACAACCUUAUUGGCCCCAAGGUGGACCUGGACUCUGCCAGACAAAAGGCAGACAACAGUAGAGACCAACCUGGAAGCCUUGACCACUAUAAAUGAAACUGCCUGUCCAUGUGAAGCCUGAACUUGACUCCCACGAUCCUCUGGGCUGACCAACCUGGACUUCCCCAUCAGGGUCCACUGUGCUUGCUGAUACGAAUCAUUGCCUGUGACCCCUCUCCCCUGCUCCCAACCCACCCACUACCCACAAGGGUGGAGUGGAUUCAUGCUCACUGAAGCUGUAUGGCAACACAUAGAUUUUUGUAACCUUCUGUGUGAUAGAUGCUCUAUGCACAUUAACAUGUAAUCCUGAAAUGUACUGAUAAUCAGUUCAAUAGAUAAGGAAAUAGAAGCUCAAAGAAGUAAAGAUAUUUUUCCAUGUCACAAA